RNAcentral lists this ribosomal RNA (1372 nucleotides) under uncultured bacterium. RNAcentral describes it as "bacterial SSU rRNA". It matches the Rfam family "Bacterial small subunit ribosomal RNA", at positions 28 to 1381 of the family's 1533-position model. The record is from RNAcentral.
GAUGAGCGCUGGCGGCGUGCCUAAUACAUGCAAGUCGAGCGAACGGACGAGAAGCUUGCUUCUCUGAUGUUAGCGGCGGACGGGUGAGUAACACGUGGAUAACCUACCUAUAAGACUGGGAUAACUUCGGGAAACCGGAGCUAAUACCGGAUAAUAUUUUGAACCGCAUGGUUCAAAAGUGAAAGACGGUCUUGCUGUCACUUAUAGAUGGAUCCGCGCUGCAUUAGCUAGUUGGUAAGGUAACGGCUUACCAAGGCAACGAUGCAUAGCCGACCUGAGAGGGUGAUCGGCCACACUGGAACUGAGACACGGUCCAGACUCCUACGGGAGGCAGCAGUAGGGAAUCUUCCGCAAUGGGCGAAAGCCUGACGGAGCAACGCCGCGUGAGUGAUGAAGGUCUUCGGAUCGUAAAACUCUGUUAUUAGGGAAGAACAUAUGUGUAAGUAACUGUGCACAUCUUGACGGUACCUAAUCAGAAAGCCACGGCUAACUACGUGCCAGCAGCCGCGGUAAUACGUAGGUGGCAAGCGUUAUCCGGAAUUAUUGGGCGUAAAGCGCGCGUAGGCGGUUUUUUAAGUCUGAUGUGAAAGCCCACGGCUCAACCGUGGAGGGUCAUUGGAAACUGAAAAACUUGAGUGCAGAAGAGGAAAGUGGAAUUCCAUGUGUAGCGGUGAAAUGCGCAGAGAUAUGGAGGAACACCAGUGGCGAAGGCGACUUUCUGGUCUGUAACUGACGCUGAUGUGCGAAAGCGUGGGGAUCAAACAGGGUUAGAUACCCUGGUAGUCCACGCCGUAAACGAUGAGUGCUAAGUGUUAGGGGGUUUCCGCCCCUUAGUGCUGCAGCUAACGCAUUAAGCACUCCGCCUGGGGAGUACGACCGCAAGGUUGAAACUCAAAGGAAUUGACGGGGACCCGCACAAGCGGUGGAGCAUGUGGUUUAAUUCGAAGCAACGCGAAGAACCUUACCAAAUCUUGACAUCCUUUGACAACUCUAGAGAUAGAGCUUUCCCCUUCGGGGGACAAAGUGACAGGUGGUGCAUGGUUGUCGUCAGCUCGUGUCGUGAGAUGUUGGGUUAAGUCCCGCAACGAGCGCAACCCUUAAGCUUAGUUGCCAUCAUUAAGUUGGGCACUCUAAGUUGACUGCCGGUGACAAACCGGAGGAAGGUGGGGAUGACGUCAAAUCAUCAUGCCCCUUAUGAUUUGGGCUACACACGUGCUACAAUGGACAAUACAAAGGGCAGCGAAACCGUGAGGUCAAGCAAAUCCCAUAAAGUUGUUCUCAGUUCGGAUUGUAGUCUGCAACUCGACUACAUGAAGCUGGAAUCGCUAGUAAUCGUAGAUCAGCAUGCUACGGUGAAUACGUUCCCGGGUCU